UGUGACAUACCUUAUGUUGCCUCGGCGGAUCAGCCCGCGCCCCGUAAAAAGGGACGGCCCGCCGCAGGAACCCUAAACUCUGUUUUUAGUGGAACUUCUGAGUAUAAAAAACAAAUAAAUCAAAACUUUCAACAACGGAUCUCUUGGUUCUGGCAUCGAUGAAGAACGCAGCAAAAUGCGAUAAGUAAUGUGAAUUGCAGAAUUCAGUGAAUCAUCGAAUCUUUGAACGCACAUUGCGCCCGCCAGUAUUCUGGCGGGCAUGCCUGUUCGAGCGUCAUUUCAACCCUCAAGCCCAGCUUGGUGUUGGGAGCUGCAGUCCUGCUGCACUCCCCAAAUACAUUGGCGGUCACGUCGAGCUUCCAUAGCGUAGUAAUUUACACAUCGUUACUGGUAAUCGUCGCGGCCACGCCGUUAAACCCCAACUUCUGAAUGUUGACCUCGGAUCAGGUAGGAAUACCCGCUGAACUUAAGCAUAUCA
Molecule: ribosomal RNA, 478 nt
Filed under: Fusarium graminearum
Lineage: Eukaryota; Fungi; Ascomycota; Sordariomycetes; Hypocreales; Nectriaceae
Description: eukaryotic LSU rRNA
Rfam family: 5.8S ribosomal RNA (bases 124-277)
Source: RNAcentral